UUUUUAGCGGCGGACGGGUGAGUAACGUGUGGGCAACCUACCUUUUACUGUGGAAUAAUCGUUGGAAACGACGACUAAUACCGCAUACGGUUCUUGGAAGGCAUCUUCUAAGAAAGAAAGGAGUAAUUCGGUAAAAGAUGGGCCCGCAUCUGAUUAGCUAGUUGGUGAGAUAAUAGCCCACCAAGGCAACGAUCAGUAGCCGACCUGAGAGGGUGACCGGCCACAUUGGGACUGAGACACGGCCCAAACUCCUACGGAAGGCAGCAG
This 267-nucleotide ribosomal RNA is filed under the name uncultured bacterium. Its description in RNAcentral is "partial 16S ribosomal RNA". It matches the Rfam family "Bacterial small subunit ribosomal RNA", at positions 89 to 354 of the family's 1533-position model. The record is from RNAcentral.